CUGGGGCGGUCUCCUCCCAAAGAGUAACGGAGGAGCACAAAGGUACCCUCAGCACGGUCGGACAUCGUGCAAUGAGCGUAAAGGUAGAAGGGUGCUUGACUGCGAGACCCACAAGUCGAGCAGGUGCGAAAGCAGGUCUUAGUGAUCCGGUGGUUCUGUAUGGAAGGGCCAUCGCUCAACGGAUAAAAGGUACUCCGGGGAUAACAGGCUGAUACCGCCCAAGAGUUCACAUCGACGGCGGUGUUUGGCACCUCGAUGUCGGCUCAUCACAUCCUGGGGCUGAAGCCGGUCCCAAGGGUAUGGCUGUUCGCCAUUUAAAGCGGUACGUGAGUUGGGUUCAGAACGUCGCGAGACAGUUCGGUCCCUAUCUGCCGUGGGUGUAGGA
This 385-nucleotide ribosomal RNA is filed under the name Durinskia baltica. RNAcentral's name for it is "partial Bacterial large subunit ribosomal RNA". It matches the Rfam family "Bacterial large subunit ribosomal RNA", at positions 2274 to 2658 of the family's 2925-position model. Lineage: Eukaryota; Dinophyceae; Peridiniales; Kryptoperidiniaceae. The record is from RNAcentral.